This 889-nucleotide ribosomal RNA is filed under the name Candidozyma haemuli. Its description in RNAcentral is "SSU rRNA". It matches the Rfam family "Eukaryotic small subunit ribosomal RNA", at positions 572 to 1478 of the family's 1831-position model. The record is from RNAcentral. Lineage: Eukaryota; Fungi; Ascomycota; Pichiomycetes; Serinales; Metschnikowiaceae.
AGUCGUCCUUUCGGGGCCCCCGACCGCGGUAAUUCCAGCUCCAAGAGCGUAUAUUAAAGUUGUUGCAGUUAAAAAGCUCGUAGUUGAACCUUGGGGGCACUGCGCCGGUCCGCCGCAAGGCGAGCACUGGAGGCGGCGCCCCUUUCCUCUGUCGUCUCCCCUUGUGGGGGGUGACAGAAUAUUACUUUGAGUAAAUGAGAGUGUUCAAAGCAGGCGCACGCUUGAAUCUGUUAGCAUGGAAUAAUAGAAUAGGACGCAUGGUUCUAUUUUGUUGGUUUCUAGGACCAUCGUAAUGAUUAAUAGGGACGGUCGGGGGCAUCAGUAUUCAGUUGUCAGAGGUGAAAUUCUUGGAUUUACUGAAGACUAACUACUGCGAAAGCAUUUGCCAAGGACGUUUUCAUUAAUCAAGAACGAAAGUUAGGGGAUCGAAGAUGAUCAGAUACCGUCGUAGUCUUAACCAUAAACUAUGCCGACUAGGGAUCGGGCGGCGUUCAUCUAGUGACGCGCUCGGCACCUUACGAGAAAUCAAAGUUUUUGGGUUCUGGGGGGAGUAUGGUCGCAAGGCUGAAACUUAAAGGAAUUGACGGAAGGGCACCACCAGGAGUGGAGCCUGCGGCUUAAUUUGACUCAACACGGGGAAACUCACCAGGUCCAGACACAAUAAGGAUUGACAGAUUGAGAGCUCUUUCUUGAUUUUGUGGGUGGUGGUGCAUGGCCGUUCUUAGUUGGUGGAGUGAUUUGUCUGCUUAAUUGCGAUAACGAACGAGACCUUAACCUCUAAAUAGUGCUGCCAGCGCUUCUCUGUGCUGGCGCUGCACUUCUUAGGGGGACUAUUGACUUGAAGUCGAUGGAAGUUUGAGGCAAUAACAGGUCAGUAUGGCCCUUAGGA